AGGAUCAUUAUUGAAUGAACUUGGCGUGGUUGUUGCUGGCCCUCUCGGGGGCAUGUGCACACCCGCCAUCUCCAUCUCUCCACCUGUGCACCUCUUGUAGACUGGAAUAGACUUUCCGAGGCAACUCGGUCGGGAGGAAUGCUGUCGCUUUGCGUCGGCUUUCUUUGCACUUCCAAGCCUAUGUUUUUCAUAUACCCGUAGUAUGUAACAGAAUGUAUCAUUUGGACCUCAGUGCCUAUAAACCAUAUACAACUUUCAGCAACGGAUCUCUUGGCUCUCGCAUCGAUGAAGAACGCAGCGAAAUGCGAUAAGUAAUGUGAAUUGCAGAAUUCAGUGAAUCAUCGAAUCUUUGAACGCACCUUGCGCUCCUUGGUAUUCCGAGGAGCAUGCCUGUUUGAGUGUCAUUUAAUUCUCAACCUUAUUAGCUUUUGCUGAUAAUGGCUUGGAUGUGGGGGUUCUCUUUUGCUGGCUUCUUUUCACAGAGGUCAGCUCCCCUGAAAUGCAUUAGCUGGUGCCCCGCGUGGACUGUCUAUUUGGUGUGAUAAUUAUCAACGCCGUGGAUGUCUGCAAUUGGUUUUGGCACUGCUUCUAACUGUCUAUUCAUUUGGACAACACAUGACAAUUGACCUCAAAUCA
This 636-nucleotide ribosomal RNA is filed under the name Hymenogaster griseus. RNAcentral describes it as "eukaryotic LSU rRNA". The stretch from base 251 to 404 matches the Rfam family "5.8S ribosomal RNA". Lineage: Eukaryota; Fungi; Basidiomycota; Agaricomycetes; Agaricales; Hymenogastraceae. The record is from RNAcentral.